This is a long non-coding RNA of Anastrepha ludens (Mexican fruit fly), 3724 nucleotides long. RefSeq lists it as uncharacterized. NCBI's taxonomy places the organism in Eukaryota, Metazoa, Arthropoda, Insecta, Diptera, Tephritidae. The transcript has 2 exons. The record is from RefSeq and is a predicted model, not a curated record.
AUAAGAAUGAAGAUAUAUUUUGAAUGUAGGCGAAACAAAUGGAAAGGCGAAAGUGAAUACUGUCGCCAAUUUUGCCCCAAAUAGCCCCAAUGCAGCAGGCGCAACAAAGAUGAAACUAGUUGUACUCGAGCAAGCGUUCAUAAAUGACCGACCGACCGACCGCCUAUAGUGCGUCGCGUUGCGAGUGUGUGAACGCAGAAAAUAAGAAACAGAGAAAAUGUCAAGAUACACGAAAAAUCGAUUAUGUCAAGAAGCUGUUCGAGUUUUCCUUGAUAAAAAAAAAUUAGCAAUUGAACGAAAUGUGAACUCCUUUUGAACUAAUACAUCGGUUUAUACUCAAAAACAAUGGCAAAACUAAUUAAAAUAAGGCAAUCAACAAAAACCAAGAUGGCAGCGAAUUUGGAGUAUACGGCGAAUUGCGUAGAUGAGGGAAUGGAUGAAUUGCGAGAUACACACACAGAACGGAACUAUUUCAAAAAAGAAAUGUCAAGAAGGGCGAUACAACAACAACACCAAUUAAACAUUAACAGUGCAACAGAAGGUGGCGGGUUGUCGCAUGCUACAGCAUACAUAAUUAUGCACAUAUUUACGAGUUGUUGCUUCCGUUCCCUCAAAGCGAUUUCAACCACCACCAAUGGUUGCAUUAAUAUAAUUUUAAAAUUUCGCGGUGCGGUGCUACCACUCGCUUUAUCAUCAAUUAUUUCACAUUGAGGUAGAUAAGUAAAACGAUUUGCUUUGGUGGGGAAGAUGAAUGAAUGACAUGUAUUAAACCGCCUCCUACUGAAGUGGCCAAUGUAAUACUUAAAUCACAUUAAUAUGGCUCAUCCCAUUCACGUCAACGCUGAACCACAAAUAAAUAUGUAGUUGACUUUAUAGAGUGAUCUCCCAGGUUUGUGCGGCUGAAUGGCUUACUAUGUAUCGGCAUUUCAUUACAUUAAGAGCAUUUUCCCUUUUUGCUAAGUGAUCUUUAGGCCACAGUUGGAAAUGCCAAAAACAAUGGAAUGGUAAAAUCGAUUGCCAAACCUUUCGAUACCCAAAUAGUAGGGAGAGCCUGCAUAAAUUUUUACACCGAUAUCUUUCGUUAGCAGCUCGUUGUUGUAAUAGCAUGCACAUUAUCCAUACAUGUUUGGGGAAUGCUGCUGGCCGGAUAUAAAUACCGACCAUUCCGGUACGUAGAACCGAAAGUCGAGAAAAAUGCUAACACAAUUUCAGCCAUCCGUACUAGCGCUGACUUAAGCCAGAUCUAUUAAAUUAGAAUUAAUUAUUCUUUCUUGACCACAAAAAUUAUAUUUUCUGUCCACACACCUUAAAUGGUUGAAAUUUGGCUUCUUGCAUUGUCAAAAGAAAUAUCAGUUUUCUUUAAUAACUUAGCACAGAAAGUUAAAAGCAAUAUGUAGGCGAUUAUUGGUCGACAUAUAAGAUUGCUUCGGAGAGCUGUUAUUUAGCCCUGGCUAAAGACCCCUUUGUCGCCGGUUGAAUGGUUCUUCUUAUUCUUUAUACAAAUACAUGGUACUUCAUACCCGAAAAAUAACACCAUUUUAUAAGUUAAUUAUUUGAAAAUUAUAGAAGUCAUUAAUAUUAGGGAAUCAAGUAAUAUUCCAUGAAUGGAGAUUAGGUAAUAAAUUUGGCUAAAUUAUUAAAAGUCAACUCUGGUACCGGCAACCGCCGGUUGAAGGUUGAAUGGUCUGUGCGGAAGCAUAAUUCAGUUAGAAACUCACUGUGGGCACGAAACACUAAGAAGGCGGCCGCCUCUCAGUGGUCAAUGGCAAGCCUACGGGUGUAUUUCUGCUAUGUAAAAUCUCAUAAAAACCUAUCUAUAAUUCAGAGGCGGCCAAAAAAGAGCCUUUAUUUGUAAAUUGGAGGAAGAGCUCGGCCAAACACCCAACAAAGAAUAUAAGCGCAAUUUAUACUAGAAAUCAGCUCUGAAACUAAAAUUUUGGAAUUAUUGGAUAAAUAAUUGAGUAGAAACACUAAGUUUUAUUAUAGACUUAUGAAAUACUGAUCAUAAAACUCUUUGCGAUGGAUUGCCGCCGAAGUGUCUGAAUUGCAUAUAUUUAAUACUCUUUUUUUAGCGUUAACCGAAGUUAUUAAGCUAACCUGUACUUGUAUUCCUUUCCUUCUUUAUUAAUUUAAAGCUGAUGCCAGUCAACAUACAAUUAGUAAAUACAUACAUGUGUGUAUUGAAAUGAAGAUGUAUUCAAAGCGUUUGCUUUUGCAUCACGCUUAUGAGUUUUGUUAUCGCUACUAAUAUCGCAUUAAAGAAUAUAUAGUAUAUGCUGAUACAUAAUUUAAAUGGGAGAAGUGUAUGAAAUGCCGCCAUCGUCAAAACAGAUCAACAAAGUGUAUUAUGUGCGACAACAUUGGCAACCCUCGGGUGGCCUACUGCGUUGUUACGUUGCUACUGCUUUAAAGGUACAUAUUCAUAUAUGCCUACACACGAUUCGCCCUGUAUACGUACCAUACAUGUAUGCGCCCGCGUGUAUGUAUUGCUGUACGUGUGUGCGUUUGGGUUAUACACGCGCGUUCAUUUGUAUGUUCAACGCGUACUCAUGGCGGAUAAAUUUUGUGACAAAUUAAUAAAUUCUUUAUAUAAACUCGAUCAUGAGGAUGAAAAAAACGGUACUAUAUGCGCACCCUGCGCCUUCAUUUGGAGACUUGCACCCACAUAACCUUUUCACAACCUGCUGGUGCUAGCGAUGCGUUGCGUUGCGUUCCUACUAAUGAAUGGGGAUGGCAGAGCGUAGCUAAAACAAAGGGAGGGCGGCAAAAGUACAUUCUAGCGCACAGAAACUUCUUGGCGUUGAUUUGCCAAAACAAAAUAUAAGGUUGGAAAUGAAUACACCAACAAAUAAGCUAAGAAAAAAUUACCGCGUGAAAUAUUUCAAAUACUAUUAAUCAUUACAUUAAUAAAAGACAAAAUGCUUACCUGAUUCGCUUUUCGUGCGCGUCUUUCUAGUUCUAUUCUUUUUUCCAUUUUUUUGGUGCACUAGUCUUACUUUUUCACUUGUAAUUUUCAGCUGCUGUUGCAAUUUGAGCUUUCUAGUUUUACAAUUUCACACUUGAAAUUUAACGUUUAAAAACUUUUGCGUCGCUCUAUUCAAUCACAGCUUCUUAUAAUGCUGGCUAUUUUUUCUUGUUUUCACAAAUAUAGAUUUAAAUGCAAGCACUGUCACACUGUGUAGUCGACUUGAAAAUCUGAAUGUUGUGCUCCUUCGCUGCUACUUUCCUAUAGUUGUUUUCUCCCCCACACACACACACGCUGCGUUAACUGCCAAGACGGGUGUAUGCGCCAAUAAAACAAAAUGCAAAAAAGAAACACCAAAAGCAGUUGUCGACCGCUGUUGCUGUUACUGUAGUCGUUGUUGUUGGUGCAAUAGCUUUGGUUUGCCUUUUCUCCUUUAUUCUCUUCCUUUUCUGCUUGUCGUCGUCGGCUCUAUUUCUUUCACCUCUACGCGCUGCGUUCUAUUGCAAAUUUUGCGUUAACGUAAUAUUUCACUUCUUUUACUUGAACGCACACUUUGCUUACCUGUGUUAAAACUACCGCCGCUAUUCAGCAAAACAGUUUGUAUGAUUCUUUCGCAAGCUAACCCUUUAGGCUAAAUACCGAAAUGUUGCUUGCUUCACAAAUUUCCUGCCACUUAAUAUAGUCGCUCCAGAUUUUUUACUUGUUUUGGAAAAUAACUUCUAUACUAAAAUAAAACUUGAAACUUAUGUGCACUUUCCA